RNAcentral lists this ribosomal RNA (373 nucleotides) under uncultured bacterium. Its description in RNAcentral is "bacterial SSU rRNA". It matches the Rfam family "Bacterial small subunit ribosomal RNA", at positions 527 to 896 of the family's 1533-position model. The record is from RNAcentral.
GUAGGGGCCUAGCGUUGUCCGGAUUUAUUGGGCGUAAAGAGCUCGUAGGCGGUUUGGUGAGUCGGGUGUGAAAUCUCUACGCUCAACGUGGAGGGGCCACCCGAUACUGCCAUGACUAGAGUCCGGUAGGGGAGUGUGGAAUUCCCGGUGUAGCGGUGAAAUGCGCAGAUAUCGGGAGGAACACCAGUAGCGAAGGCGACACUCUGGGCCGGUACUGACGCUGAGGAGCGAAAGCGUGGGGAGCAAACAGGAUUAGAUACCCUGGUAGUCCACGCUGUAAACGUUGGGCACUAGGUGUGGGACUCUAUCGACGGGUUCCGUGCCGUAGCUAACGCAUUAAGUGCCCCGCCUGGGGAGUACGGCCGCAAGGCUA